Molecule: ribosomal RNA, 254 nt
Filed under: uncultured bacterium
Lineage: Bacteria
Description: partial 16S ribosomal RNA
Rfam family: Bacterial small subunit ribosomal RNA
Source: RNAcentral
CACGUAGGGGGCAAGCGUUGUCCGGAUUUAUUGGGCGUAAAGAGCUCGUAGGUGGUUCGGUAAGUCGGGUGUGAAACCUCCAGGCUCAACCUGGAGACGCCACCCGAUACUGCUGUGACUGGAGUCCGGUAGGGGAGCGUGGAAUUCCUGGUGUAGCGGUGAAAUGCGCAGAUAUCAGGAGGAACACCAGCGGCGAAGGCGGCGCUCUGGGCCGGUACUGACGCUGAGACGCGAAAGCGUGGGGAGCAAACAGG